This 466-nucleotide ribosomal RNA is filed under the name uncultured bacterium. Its description in RNAcentral is "partial 16S ribosomal RNA". It matches the Rfam family "Bacterial small subunit ribosomal RNA", at positions 28 to 507 of the family's 1533-position model. The record is from RNAcentral.
GACGAACGCUGGCGGCGUGCUUAACACAUGCAAGUCGAACGGAAAGGCCCUGCUUGCAGGGUACUCGAGUGGCGAACGGGUGAGUAACACGUGGGUGAUCUGCCCUGCACUUCGGGAUAAGCCUGGGAAACUGGGUCUAAUACCGGAUAGGAGCCAUUUUUAGUGUGAUGGUUGGAAAGUUUUUUUCGGUGUAGGAUGAGCUCGCGGCCUAUCAGCUUGUUGGUGGGGUAAUGGCCUACCAAGGCGGCGACGGGUAGCCGGCCUGAGAGGGUGGACGGCCACAUUGGGACUGAGAUACGGCCCAGACUCCUACGGGAGGCAGCAGUGGGGAAUAUUGCACAAUGGGCGCAAGCCUGAUGCAGCGACGCCGCGGGGGGGAUGACGGCCUUCGGGUUGUAAACUCCUUUCGCUAGGGACGAAGCUUUUUGUGACGGUACCUAGAUAAGAAGCACCGGCUAACUACGUG